RNAcentral lists this ribosomal RNA (467 nucleotides) under uncultured bacterium. RNAcentral describes it as "partial 16S ribosomal RNA". It matches the Rfam family "Bacterial small subunit ribosomal RNA", at positions 28 to 507 of the family's 1533-position model. The record is from RNAcentral.
GACGAACGCUGGCGGCGUGCUUAACACAUGCAAGUCGAACGGAAAGGCUCCAGCUUGCUGGAGUACUCGAGUGGCGAACGGGUGAGUAACACGUGGGUAAUCUGCCCUGCACUCUGGGAUAAGCCUGGGAAACUGGGUCUAAUACUGGAUAUGACCUUUCUCCUUAUGGGGUUUGGUGGAAAGUUUUUCGGUGUAGGAUGAGCCCGCGGCCUAUCAGCUUGUUGGUGGGGUGAUGGCCUACCAAGGCGACGACGGGUAGCCGGCCUGAGAGGGUGAUCGGCCACAUUGGGACUGAGAUACGGCCCAGACUCCUACGGGAGGCAGCAGUGGGGAAUAUUGCACAAUGGGCGGAAGCCUGAUGCAGCGACGCCGCGUGAGGGAUGACGGCCUUCGGGUUGUAAACCUCGUUCAGCAGGGACGAAGCGUAAGUGACGGUACCUGCAGAAGAAGCACCGGCUAACUAUGUG